AGGUUAGCAAGAAGGAGUCUAGGUUUCUAACCUCCGGCCCAAGCGGUUGAAUUCCGUUUCUAUCCUU
This 67-nucleotide transfer RNA is filed under the name Alpheus lobidens. Its description in RNAcentral is "tRNA-Ser". The record is from RNAcentral. Lineage: Eukaryota; Metazoa; Arthropoda; Malacostraca; Decapoda; Alpheidae.